This 80-nucleotide ribosomal RNA is filed under the name Boeremia exigua var. exigua. RNAcentral describes it as "partial 5.8S ribosomal RNA". It matches the Rfam family "5.8S ribosomal RNA", at positions 78 to 154 of the family's 154-position model. Rfam says of the family: 5.8S ribosomal RNA (5.8S rRNA) is a component of the large subunit of the eukaryotic ribosome. It is transcribed by RNA polymerase I as part of the 45S precursor that also contains 18S and 28S rRNA. Functionally, it is thought that 5.8S rRNA may be involved in ribosome translocation. Lineage: Eukaryota; Fungi; Ascomycota; Dothideomycetes; Pleosporales; Didymellaceae. RNAcentral also lists the same sequence under 1 other name. The record is from RNAcentral.
AAUUCAGUGAAUCAUCGAAUCUUUGAACGCACAUUGCGCCCCUUGGUAUUCCAUGGGGCAUGCCUGUUCGAGCGUCAUUU